RNAcentral lists this transfer RNA (64 nucleotides) under Rhopalus maculatus. RNAcentral's name for it is "tRNA-His". The record is from RNAcentral. Lineage: Eukaryota; Metazoa; Arthropoda; Insecta; Hemiptera; Rhopalidae.
GCCUAAAUAGUUUAAUUAGAAUUAUAAUUUGUGGUAUUAUAGGUGUAUAUAAAUACUUUGGGUU